GAUCAAGGCCCAAACUUCUCCCAUUUGCUAAGCUAUUUCCAUGCCCAUAAAGGUUUGGUUUGCCUCUUUGAAGUCCUCAGCAAGUCUAAAAGAGUAGCACCAACCCUCACCUAAGCACAGGAUGGAAACUUCACAGCAUCCUCCUCCUUAUGGCCAUUGCCAUCUCUGUCCACAUCACUACAUUGCCAGUAUUUGUAUUACAUUUAGUUCACAGAAAGCUUUCAUUCGCCUGACCUCUUCAGAAUGAGAAUUACUGGUGUUUGGAGCUGGAUGGAGCAUUUCAUCUUGCAAAAAUUUUGUGGAGGACUCAGGGCAGCAUUAUAAUCCUCCUUGUUCACCUCCCAGCACACUUGUGUUACUUAGUAAGUAUUUGAUGAGUAUUUGUGGAACUAAUGAUUGUAAAUAAGGAAACUACAUUUCAGAGAAGUUCUGUAGUUUUCUCACCUGACAGGCAGAAAGGGAGUUGCAGACACUAGAACAAAGGUCUCUCCAUCUAUUACACGAGGGACCAAAACCAAACUAAACCAAACCAAACCCCCAAAACGAAAAAAGACAUCCGUAAACCCAUGGAGGUGUCUCCAUUGAUGUCUUAGUUGAAUAAAAGUCAGAGAGCGGAUCGAAGGCAAUGAUUCAUCAAAAAGUACAUGUUCAUUGUCUUUAUCUCACCAUAUGUGAAGAACAGAGAAAAAAGAAAUGAAAACUGAUGAUGCACCAGCUUAAAAAAUCAACAUCAUAAUAUUGUCACUAGAUGGUGACCUUGUUGUGGAAAAAAAGGAAAAGAUUUAGCAAUGUUGCUAUAGGUCAGUUGUACUUUCAUUGUCUAUUAUUUUUCUCAGUGGGAAACAGGAGCAAAAUUUCCUCUCCUUUGUGAAACUAAAGACAAUUCUCCCUUUCUAGACUUUGGUUUCCUCACCAGUGGUUAAUACACAACUAAUCCAAGUCAGGUUGAUACAUACGUAAAUUUACACAAUUGUUUCUAUUUGUAAAGAGCAAAUCUACUGUCAAUAAAAUGUGGCAAGUGCUUUUUUUUUUUUUAAGUCCUCAAUCAUUCACAGCAAAUGUGUUUAAAUUGCUAAGGACCAAGGAAGGCAUCUCUGAAUCUUGUCCUCUGUUGGAGACCCAAUCCUGCAAUCACGGAACACCUGGGUCACUGAGACUCCAAUGAUUAGUUGGAAAAACAGGGGAUGAAAUUUGGGGUGUUAUAUACAAUGUUCCUUUGUUUCUACCAAAGAUCUUAAUUCAGAUUGAUGUAGCUUGAUGAAGUUCCACAGUUCCAGGUGAAAGGAAAUUAAUGCUUGUUGGGCUGCUGUAACAACCCAAUGAGGUGGAAAUUAUUUGCUUGGUGUUUAAGAUGAGAAAGCUGAGACAUAGAGAGGCUGAGGAACUCAAUGAAGCAGCAGAGAAUUAAAGUUGAGAGAUGGGACUUAGGUUUCAUUGCCUUGAUUCCAAUCCUGACACAAUCAUUGAACUAGCUGUGUGACCAUGGGAAUAAAGUUGACUCUCUGAUCCUCAGUUUCUUUAUAGGUAAAAUGAGGAUUGAAUUUGGGAAUAGAACCUCCUGCAUUCAGUUGUUUUGAGGAUUGAUAUUAGACUCUAAUCAUCUAUUAUUAUCAUUAAAGUGAUAAUACAGUUAAAUUUCAGAGACAGAGUUCAAAGCGUAAACCCUUCUCAUUGCACUGUGUCACUCUUUGGAUGAUAUUCACAAAGCUCAGAAUUUCUCCUAGUGAGAUAUAUAGGAUUAGAACUUGAAAGUAAUCUUUGUGGUCAGUUUAAAUCUGCUGUGGAGCAAAUGACCCACCUAGGGUUGGGGUACCUGUUACAUCUUAAAUUGAGUACUAUUAACAGCUGCAAGAAUCUGGGAUAAGGACCACCAGUCCCACAUAAUUUCAUGUCACAGGAUAUGGAAUGAGUAUCAGAAGGUAUAUGUUUAAAUGGACAGCAGAGAAUCUACAUCUUUUUGGAGAAAUUUUGAAGGAGACCAGCUGAGGGUAAUUUUGUUUGUUAACACACAUAUACACAUCACACUUACUGAGUCCAUACUAUGUUGGAAACACCAUGCAAUAAGGAAGAUGGAGAUUUCCAUAGAGGUGAAGUGCUCACUAUUCUACAGUUCAUUAUGGCAGAGGAGCCAGUGACCCUCCCUGUCCAAAUCAAGGCACACUCUCCAUGGAGCUCACAAUAUGCCCUAAGAUGAGGAAAAGGAAGAUUAAUAACAGAGAGCAGUGGAGGGUAGGGGACUGCUAAGACUUCUUGGGAAAAAGAUAGAAAGGAAACAGUUGAUUCUUAUAAUCUAUUGGAUACUUUAGGUGUUGGUUUUUACACUGGGUUUGAAGGAAAGAUAAAAUUCAAUAGUUGGAUACAAAAGGGAGGGAGAAAGAAUAUGCCUGGGCUGCUGAGAGCAGUUAUGAUUUAUAUGGCACAGAGUUAGUCAUCAUCCUGGUGAAUCCACAUUUUCACAUGAACUUUUAAUUACAGCUAAUUACAAGGCUUGCCUUGUAGUCUAAAAUUUCAUUUUAAAUAGUGUUUGCAUUUUUAUAACUUUUCUUUUAAUAUGCUUUUCAUAUUUUUGAAAUCAGGAAAAGUUACUUUUAAAUACCAUAUAUGCCAAAAUUAAUUUUUAAAACAGGAAAUUAUUCCUAUAAAUAUGGUUUUAAAAUCAUCACACAGCUUUGAAAAGAUCUAAGAAAUAUUGUCCGGAUUAGGUUUUUUAAAGAUUUUGUCCAAAACAAUUUCCUCUUUUCAGCUGGUCUCCUUUACUGAAUCAUAUUAAUUUUUUAGUUUUUCAAUCUGUCUCCAAGUACUAGGAAACAUCUCUCAAUUGGUUUUUGAAAAUAUGAAUUUCAAUUUUAAUUGUCAAUAUAUUGAUUUUAUUUAUUGGUUAAAUUAAACCUAUUUAGAUAGAUAUUAUUUGUCCGGUUUCACAGAUGUGAAACAAAGAAUUAAGAAAAUUUUCAAAGCAGUUUAACACUGUGGAUAAGAGCUGGGCUUGAGCUUGUUCUGAGGCCCAGUCCUGGCUCCAUAACAAACUAGCUAAAUGACUUUGGCAAAGCAGCUGAAUCUCUGUCUCUCUUGAAGUCAUUUAAGCUAAAUAGAAUAUAGUUAUCUAAGUUUUUUUUUUCUUUAAGCAUUUAGGAGGCCGGUCUACACAUUUGAAUAUUUGUUGAAUCUGGAUGGAGGUAUGUAUUAACUAAAUUCUUCUUUCCCUUCAACAAAUCUUUAUUAAGAACUUACCAUGAGCAGGUAUUGUACUAGGCAGUGGAGCUGCAAAGAUGAGAAAGGUAAAUAACUUUUAGAAACUUUGAAAAAGUUUCCACAAAUAUUAAUUUCAAAUCAGCAAAAUAAUAUGUAGUGGGUCAACUUGGUCUCUGACAUCAAAAUAAAUCUUACAUGGACCCCAUAGUAUACAAAUUUGUCUUAAGUUUCUUCAUUAAAUAUUUGGUUUGUUAAGUACUGUCAAAACUACCAUUUCUCAAUAAGUCUUUGCUGCCCUGAUAGGAAACAAUAGAAGUCCCGAAGUGUAUUAAUUCUAACCUGCUAUUGUUUUUUCAUUUUUUGUUUGUUUAAUAAUGCUCUUAAGGAACUAAAGAUGAGCCAGGAUCCCUCCACUGGAGAACUCUGACUCUGGUUCAUUUGAGCCUGAGUUCUUAUUCCCACCCUCCACUUACAGGUUACAUGGUCUCAGGCAAGUUCCUUAGGCAGACUGCACCUCAGCUCUCUCAUCUGUAAUAUGAAGAUAAUAGAAACACCUAAGUUAAAGAGCUCUUGUAAAGUUACAUGAGAUUUAGGAUGAUGUAAAGCAAAAUCUCAAUAAUAAGCUUUUAUUAUUGCAUGUAGUUUAAAAGUUUUAACAUCCUCAUAUUACGUCCAUGAGUAGAAAUGUCAGAUUUGUAAAACAUCCUAUUUACCUUUGACUUAUUUGAUUGGUUGCCUUGUUCCCAGUUGAAGGUUUUUUUGUUGUUGUUGUUUGGUUGGUUGGUUCUUUUCAUUUUUUAUCACUUUGCUCUCUAGUCUUCUACCUUCCUAGGGAGAAUUGAAUACUGUUUGUUUAUUGAUUCUUAGGGGGUGAAGGCCAAAACAGUGUGGUCUGGAAUAGCCUCAGCUUGGGGAAUUAGCACCUGGAAAGUUCUGUGACACUGAGAUUGCAGAAGCUAUCUGCAAAGCAACACAGCUUUUCAAAUCCAUGUUACAAUAAUGUCAUGCAGAGAGAACACAAAGUCAAGCUACUAUAAAUACAUGCUUUAACAGCUUUUUAAAAUAGUAUGUUUUAUUAUCUGCAAAGCUGAAAAAAGUUUUAGUGUUUUUUUGGUUGGUAUGUAUUAGCAUUUCCACACCUAUACAUUCUUUUUUUUCUUUUAUUUCAUUUUUGGCCACCUGCAGCAUAUGGAGUUCUGAAGCCAGGAAUCAGAUCCAAGCCGCAGUUGCAACCUAAGACACAGCUGCAGCAACACAGGAUCCUUAACCCACUGUGCCGGACCAGGGAUCAAACCUGCGUCCCAGUGUGCUCCCAAGGCACUACAGAUCCUGUUGUGCCACAGUGGGAACUCCUUUUUUAUUUUUUUUAUGCAUCCCAUUUUGCAUUAUAUGUUUGAACCUUAACAUUCUCUUUCAUACUCCCCUAUGCUUACUUUGUACACUCCUUUGUCAGAGGAGAUAAUCUUCUGCUUCAGACUUUCUGAUCCUUGAUGGCAGGUGUAUUAAAGUUCAGUCAGAAGACAGAAACCACUCCAAUUGUUUUUAGGGGCAAAAUUUACUAUAAAGAAUUGUUAGCUAGGUGUAAAGAGGUUAAUAACUGAAAUGGUAAAAAGAAAGCUCUAAGAUAUCCCAGACUGCGGCAAUGCAGAAAGCAGCUUCCAUCCUUAGGGUGGAGAGUACCAAGGGCAGAAGUUGGAAUUAUUAACUUACAUCCUUAGAGGGAAACCUCAGACCUCAGGGGGAACCUGCUGACCGGUGCUGGUAUCUCUGAGAUGGACUGUGAUUGGGCUGGUUUUUCAAGUGUUGAAAAAACUUCCACCUAAUUCAAAUGCUGCUAUAGAAAGGGACUGCAGGAUGAAGAAGCUUUGCCUGCAUGAUGCUUCCAGGAAUCCCAAGCAGAAAGGGAGCCCCAAAGGAAACAAACAGGAAGGAGCAAAUCCCUUCUUCUAUGUUCACUUUUGUUAACUCCCACUAGAGCCCCCAUAUUACCAGACUCAAUAUAUAAAAUAUAUAUAGCCAGCUGGCAAAGCAGAAAUGUGGUUUGUAAAGUUCCAGCGCCAGCACCUGAGAGCAAAUUAGGAAGGAUGGGUUUGGAGAUGAGAAACACUAGUUUAAUAACUGGUAUAGUAGGCAACUUGUCUUAUUGUCAGCACCUGGCAUGGUUCCUGAGCUACAGUAUUGAAUAAAUGCUUGUGGGAUGGAUAUGUGUAUAGAGUUUGAUUUUAAAAUGUGAUUUUAAUAGCUAACAUCUUAGUUUUUCUUAUAAAAAUAGCUGUCUUCCUGUAGGAAAAUAACUUGAUAGACCACUUUCAUUGUAGGAAUUGAGGCCCCAAUAGUUACAGUCUGGAAAGAGUUAGAGAAACAGAGAAUUAACCUGUCCUUUAUAGGGAGUUAGCGGAUAUUGGGGUGGAGUAGGGUGAGGGGCAAAGUAAGCAGCUGGAGAGGAGAGGGGAGGUUAAACAGUCAAAGAAGAGAGUCAAGGCCAAGCAAACUAAGAAUACUAGAGGGGCUGGUGAAAGGUAACCAAUGAGAAAUUCCUGAUAGAGAGAUUAUAGCAAGACUUCUAGAAAUGAAAAAUAUUUGAAUUCACGUUUCAUGACUAUGACUCUAAAGUAAACUCAAGUCUUUAAGAAAUCGACAUUUGCUACUCAUACCAACUUAUAUCUGGAGCAUUUGCAAAUAAAAAGGCAGUAUGCUUUGGACAUUGAGAUGAUCCAUAAAUUUAAACAAGUCUCUGGGAGCUGGGGUUAUGCCAGAGAUAACUAGGAGCACCAAAGCCUCUAUAUCUUGUUUGCCACUGACUAAAUUCCCUAGAAAGACCAAGUGUGAGUCUAUCACAGCACCUGGAAUAAGGCUAUAAAAAUUUUCAUAAACUCAGAGGGGGCCCUAGUCCCUAUCCUGGUAGCAUCUGUAUUGUUAGCAUGUACACUAUUUAGUGCCUUAGCCCUGAAGGACAAAAUGUUUUCAUAAAUAUUUGGCUAACUAGCUCCAUCUUUAAGCAAAGUGUGAAUCUG
Molecule: long non-coding RNA, 6206 nt
Filed under: Sus scrofa (pig)
Lineage: Eukaryota; Metazoa; Chordata; Mammalia; Artiodactyla; Suidae
Description: lncRNA (ENSSSCG00015034706.1)
Source: RNAcentral